This is a long non-coding RNA of Uranotaenia lowii, 677 nucleotides long. RefSeq lists it as uncharacterized. The transcript has 3 exons. The record is from RefSeq and is a predicted model, not a curated record. Lineage: Eukaryota; Metazoa; Arthropoda; Insecta; Diptera; Culicidae.
GAACGGAAGUGCGCGUCGUGUUAAAUAGAUUAAAACAACAAAAAGUAGUACAGAAAAGUUAAAACAGUGAUCGAAAAAUCGUAAAGCGAUCAAAUAAAAACACAAAAAAAGUACGGUUAGUAAGGAAAAAAUGUUUGGGACGAAAAACGAUAAAAUUUAAUUUAUGUAUUUUGUGCUAUGUAAUUCAUUUAUACAGUUACCUAAACAAAACGUUAACAAACAUACAACAAACAUUGUAACAAAAGUGUGACGAAAAACAACAUAAAAAGGUCCAAGAGGGCCUUUUUUUUGUUCUUUUGGCUUUUCUAUCAGAGCACGGCGCCCCGGAGUAUUGUUACUGAAUCCCAAAACCGGAGUAAUCCAGACAGAAAGGAAUUGUCUGACACCGCUUCAGACCCGACGGCAAAAGGUCUACCGACAACAGCAUCAUCGGAAAUUGGCCAGUAGUUUUCAACUGUCGUUUAUUGGUCCUUCCGGGACGCCGGAAGUGGACCGGUGAAACAUUGGCCUGUUCCGAACCUACGAAGCUGCUCGCCGUGAAUCAACAAAAUGACCGCUGAAAACAACCAUACAUCGGGUUCCGCGGCCUUGACUAACGCCGCUGUGCCAGCAAUAGAACGAACCGCAAGUAUAGAUAAGCUAAAAACCUGUGACGUCAGUAGGGACAACUAGUAUAA